This 292-nucleotide ribosomal RNA is filed under the name uncultured bacterium. RNAcentral describes it as "partial 16S ribosomal RNA". It matches the Rfam family "Bacterial small subunit ribosomal RNA", at positions 505 to 796 of the family's 1533-position model. The record is from RNAcentral.
GUGCCAGCAGCCGCGGUAAUACAGAGGGUGCGAGCGUUGUCCGGAAUCACUGGGCGUAAAGGGCGCGUAGGCGGUGACUUAAGCGUGUGGUGAAAGCUCGGGGCUCAACCCCGAGUCGGCCGUGCGAACUGGGUCACUCGAGCAUGUCAGAGGCAGGUGGAAUUCCGGGUGUAGCGGUGGAAUGCGUAGAGAUCCGGAAGAACACCGGUGGCGAAGGCGGCCUGCUGGGACAUGGCUGACGCUGAGGCGCGACAGCGUGGGGAGCAAACAGGAUUAGAAACCCCUGUAGUCC